RNAcentral lists this ribosomal RNA (253 nucleotides) under uncultured bacterium. RNAcentral describes it as "partial 16S ribosomal RNA". It matches the Rfam family "Bacterial small subunit ribosomal RNA", at positions 524 to 776 of the family's 1533-position model. The record is from RNAcentral.
UACAGAGGGUGCAAGCGUUGUCCGGAAUCACUGGGCGUAAAGCGUUUGUAGGCGGCUCUGUAAGUCGGGUGUGAAAUCCCACGGCUCAACCGUGGAAGUGCAUUCGAAACUGCAGGGCUUGAAUAUGGAAGAGGAGAGUAGAAUUCCAGGUGUAGUGGUGAAAUACGUAGAUAUCUGGAGGAAUACCGGUGGCGAAGGCGGCUCUCUGGUCCAAUAUUGACGCUGAGAAACGAAAGUGCGGGGAUCAAACAGG